This is a non-coding RNA of Triticum aestivum (bread wheat), 135 nucleotides long. Lineage: Eukaryota; Viridiplantae; Streptophyta; Magnoliopsida; Poales; Poaceae. The record is from Rfam.
AUGACUCUCCCUCCGUAUGAAAAUACUUGUCAUCAAAAUGGACAAAAAAUGAUGUAUUUAGAACUAAAAUAAAUCUAGAUACAUCCUAUUUUAUUCAUUUUGAUGAUAAGUAUUUUCGGACAGAGGGAGUACAUC